This 253-nucleotide ribosomal RNA is filed under the name uncultured bacterium. Its description in RNAcentral is "partial 16S ribosomal RNA". It matches the Rfam family "Bacterial small subunit ribosomal RNA", at positions 524 to 776 of the family's 1533-position model. The record is from RNAcentral.
UACGAAGGGUGCAAGCGUUGCUCGGAAUUAUUGGGCGUAAAGGGUAGGUAGGUGGUAAUAAAAGUCUGGGGUGAAAUCCCUGAGCUCAACUCAGGACGUGCCUUGGAAACUUUAUUACUAGAGUGUUGGAGAGGUCCGCAGAAUUCCCGGUGUAGCGGUGAAAUGCGUAGAGAUCGGGAGGAAUACCAGAGGCGAAGGCGGCGGACUGGACAGCAACUGACACUCAACUACGAAAGCGUGGGUAGCAAACAGG